GGAAUUGUUCACAAUGGGCGCAAGCCUGAUGACGCAACGCCGCGUGGAGGAUGAAGGUCUUCGGAUUGUAAACUCCUGUUGCUCGGGACGAAAAGCUCCGACCUAACCCGUCGGAGUCUGACGGGACCGGGUGAGGAAGCCCCCGCCAACCCUGUCCCCGCAGCCGCGGUAAUACAGAGGGGGCAAGCGUUGUUCGGAAUUACUGGGCGUAAAGGGCGCGUAGGCGGCCUGCUAAGUCGAACGUGAAAUCCCUGGGCUCAACCCAGGAACUGCGUCCGAUACUGGUUGGCUUGAAUUCGGGAGAGGGAUGCGGAAUUCCAGGUGUAGCGGUGAAAUGCGUAGAUAUCUGGAGGAACACCGGUGGCGAAGGCGGCAUCCUGGACCGAUAUUGACGCUGAUGCGCGAAAGCCAGGGGAGCAAA
Molecule: ribosomal RNA, 421 nt
Filed under: uncultured bacterium
Lineage: Bacteria
Description: bacterial SSU rRNA
Rfam family: Bacterial small subunit ribosomal RNA
Source: RNAcentral